This 426-nucleotide unclassified non-coding RNA is filed under the name Hevea brasiliensis (rubber tree). The record is from RNAcentral. Lineage: Eukaryota; Viridiplantae; Streptophyta; Magnoliopsida; Malpighiales; Euphorbiaceae.
CUUGAGAUAAUAUAGUGAUGCCAAACAAAUGAAGGCUUACAAAAGCAAAAAUUAAUCAUUUUAAGGGAGAAAAUUGGGAAGGUCUACUCAGGAGGAAAAGGCACUGUCAGAGAGACCUACCUAAUAUAUCAUUAUCAUGCAAUGAAAUAAUGUUAACAACCUCAUUCCUGCCCAAAAUCAAAGGACAAAACUUCCUCCGACACAUCCAGAAUCUCUUCGACUUCAACCUCUUUGGCUUCGUAUUCCUCUUCUUCGUCGCUGGCUUCGCCAUCCCGCAGCUUCUGCCGCAACAACUUCUCUUCUUCGUGCAAUCUCUUCCAUUCAUUCACCCACUUGUCCCACUCAUCCUUCAACAUUCUCCGUUUCUCGCGAUCUUGCUCGCUCAGUAGCAUAGAUACAUCCUGAUCUUCAGCCUCGCCUACUCUU